UCCCUGGUGGCUCAGAUGGUAAAGAUUCCACCUGCAAUGUGGGAGACCUGGGUUCAAUCCCUGGCCUGGGAA
Molecule: transfer RNA, 72 nt
Organism: Ovis aries (sheep)
Lineage: Eukaryota; Metazoa; Chordata; Mammalia; Artiodactyla; Bovidae
Rfam family: tRNA
About the family: Transfer RNA (tRNA) molecules are approximately 80 nucleotides in length. Their secondary structure includes four short double-helical elements and three loops (D, anti-codon, and T loops).
Source: Rfam